CCUUAAGUAAACAGAACUGUGGGGACACGUGUGGAGAGCACAAGCCGGAAAUGGAAAAGCCGGUGCAAGCGAGGUAGGAGAUGAACAGGCAAAUCCGUUCAUCAAUCCGAAGACGUGAUGCGGACCGAAUUAAGAGUAGGGAAGUGUGUGAGCCAUGCGUCAAGAAAAGCCGCUAUUGUUUUACUUAAGCCCGUACCGUAAACCGACACAGGUGGAUGAGGAGAGAAUCCUAAGGCCGACGGGAGAAGCAUAGUUAAGGAACUCGGCAAAAUGACUCCGUAACUUCGGGAGAAGGAGUGCCAGCGAGAGCUGGCCGCAGAGAAUUGGCCCAAGCAACUGUUUAGCAAAAACACAGGUCUAUGCAAAACCGUAAGGUGAAGUAUAUGGGCUGACGCCUGCCCGGUGCUGGAAGGUUAAGAGGAGAGGUUAGCGGCAACGCGAAGCUUUGAAUUUAAGCCCCAGUAUACGGCGGCCGUAACUAUAACGGUCCUAAGGUAGCGAAAUUCCUUGUCGGGUAAGUUCCGACCCGCACGAAAGGCGUAAUGAUUUGGGCACUGUCUCAACAAUGCACCCGGUGAAAUUGAAAUACCAGUGAAGAUGCUGGUUACCUGCGCCAGGACGGAAAGACCCCAUGGAGCUUUACUCCAGCUUGAUACUGGGAUUCGGUAUUGCAUGUACAGGAUAGGUGGGAGGCUAGGAAGUGAUAACGCCAGUUGUCACGGAGCCGCUGUUGGGAUACCACCCUUGCAGUAUUGGAUUUCUAACCAGCGACCAUGAACUGGUCGGGGGACAAUGUCAGGUGGGGAGUUUGACUGGGGCGGUCGCCUCCGAAAGGGUAUCGGAGGCGCUCAAAGGUUCCCUCAGAAUGGACGGAAACCAUUCGAAGAGUGCAAAGGCAGAAGGGAGCUUGACUGCGACACCGACGGGUGGAGCAGGUACGAAAGUAGGACUUAGUGAUCCGGUGGUAUAAAGUGGGAUUGCCAUCGCUCAACGGAUAAAAGCUACCCUGGGAUAACAGGCUUAUCACUCCCAAGAGUUCACAUCGACGGAGUGGUUUGGCACCUCGAUGUCGGCUCAUCGCAUCCUGGGGCUGAAGUAGGUCCCAAGGGUUGGGCUGUUCGCCCAUUAAAGCGGUACGCGAGCUGGGUUCAGAACGUCGUGAGACAGUUCGGUCCCUAUCCGGCGUGGGCGUAGGAUAUUUGAGAGGAGCUGUCCUUAGUACGAGAGGACCGGGAUGGACUGGCCGCUGGUGUAUCUGUUGCAUACCAAAUGCAUGGCAGAGUAGCCAAGCCGGGACGGGAUAAACGCUGAAGGCAUCUAAGCGUGAAGCCCCCCUCAAGAUGAGAUAUCCCUACGUAAGUAGUAAGACCCCUUGAAGACGACGAGGUAGAUAGGUCAGAGGUGGAAGUACAGUAAUGUAUGGAGCUGACUGAUACUAAUCGGUCGAGGGCAUGACC
Molecule: ribosomal RNA, 1457 nt
Filed under: metagenome
Description: bacterial LSU rRNA
Rfam family: Bacterial large subunit ribosomal RNA
Source: RNAcentral